CUGGGAUGAGGGAGAGUAAAUGAUGUGAGAAUUUUCAUUUUUGUGUGAACUAUCCCUUAGUAUUUAAAAGUAUAUAUUUAAAAGGAAUAAGGAGUAUGAACUAAAAAAAUAGAUUUUGUUUUUAUUUUUAUUUUUUUAAUUUUUUUUAAACAAUACAGUUUGGCAAAUGGCAAAGCAACAACAUUUGCUUUGUUAUUAAUUGACCUCAAUUUUACUUUGCAAAGUUAAGCCAAUUUAAAAGAAAUCUAAUUUAAACCAUUUGUUAACAUAUUUAUUUUGCCAAGAGUACUUUUUUGAGUGUAGGUUUAUGCGAGGAACAUAUGCCAGGACUAAAAAACAAUGGUGUUUGGUGUUUGCGAAUGAGAUUUGAGAGCUCGUAUAGACUACUUUAAAGAUACUUUAAUGGAUUCUUUUUGAAGCUUGAUAGGCCCAGUAACCAUUCACUUACAUCGUAUGGAAAACCAGCAGCAUGAAUAUACUUCAAAAUUUCUCCUUCUGUAUUCCACUGAAGAAAGAAAGUCAUAAGGGUUUAGAAUGAUUUGAGGGUGAGUAAAUGAUGACAGUAUUGUUUUUUUUGGGGGGGGGGGGGGGACUAACCCUUUAAAAAAAAAAAAAAAAAAAAAUUUGUAAACCAGUUAUUCUGUUAUUUCAGCUAAACUAACACUGUGGUGGUAGCCGGCAGUCUCAAGCUGAGACAACCAGUCAGGUGUGUUUUUGCAGCAGGGGGGGUUAUGCUGACAUCUCAUGUGAUCUCUGUGUUAAUAGGCAGGUAGUGCUCACACACAGCAGUGGGAUUGAUUGGCUGACGAGGUGGAAAGGCAGUAUGUUCAUUCUGAUUUUAUGUAAUCAGAUUUAAACUGCCCUAUGCUAUAGUGUAAGGGAGCGUUUACACAGGAUGUGUUGUUGCAUUAAAAACAGCUAGACAGAGCUUAAUUAAACUGAGGGUGUGUUUAUAGGCGUAUUAACUACCAUACACUGUUUGCUAAUAUAAACACUCAAAACCCUUGUCCAUAUGUAAAUAUGCUUAACCCGCCCCCAGAGUUAACUGAUUGGUCCACUGUUUUUUGUUUUAUAUAUAUAUUUUGUGAAAAUGUCAACUUUUUUUUUUUUUUACUAGAUUCAACAUCUUAAAAACAGGUCGCAAAAUGCUAAAACUAUGCAAAAAAAAUCUAGCUCUAAAAAAAAACACUUGUGCAGUAUCUCCCAAUCCUGGUCCCAUAGUAACCCACCCCCCUUCCCCCCUGUUUUUAUGCUGCACUUUAAACAUUGGGAGAGUGAAGUUAUAAAGAAAUUCACAGCUAAAAUGAUUUUCCUCAUCCAUUGCAAAUGUUACUGCCAAACCACGCAACUUCCUAUUGGUAAACAAUGCAAAUUCGCAUGUCAAAGUUCACCAAACUUAAAACUCAUUUCGAAAAUCAUGUAGGGAAAUUUCUUCGCUACCAGAAGUCCAUUAUGUGAGAUUCCUGAUUGUGCGGAUAUCCAUUGAGAUGAGUGCAUUUUGCCUGCAGAAUUCCACAGUGCCAAGCAACUACUCGUGACAGAAGAACUGACCCUCAUGGAUCUAGCGGCUGUCCGAAUUCUGCUACUCAAGCAAGGGGACCGUCCAGUUGAGGAUCACGUCCGUGAGUUUUUAGAAUUGGCGAAUUUAGUGCACUAUCCAGACCGCUCUCUAGUGGUUUUCUUCCGGACCGGUAUGAAUAGUGCACUGAAGGAACUGAUGCCUCCGGCUGAUCCUCACUGGACCCUCUGUGAAUAUGUGGAGAAGGCUCUGGAACAUUGCAGUUCCCAUUACACAGUGGAUUAUGGCGGGAACCCUGGGCCAAAACCUGCAUCUUCGGCUCCUUGCUCCAAGCCUGCCAUGGCUCCUUGCUCCACGCCUGCCACAGCUCGCAACCACGGAGGUCGUUCCCCAGUCGCUGCCAGUGCUCGCGACCACGGAGGCCGCUGCCAGUGCUCGUGACCACGGAGGCCGCUGCCAGUGCUCGCGACCACGGAGGUCGUUCCCCAGUCGCUGCCAGUGCUCACGACCACGGAGGUUGUUCCCCAGUCCCUGCCAGCUUUCCUCGAGCCUCUCCUGGCUCCGCCUGCCUUCGAGCCUCUCCUGGCUCCGCCCGCUCCCCCAGAGACUCCUCCUCCAGUGGUUCCACCUGCUCCCCCAGAGACUCCUCCUCCAGCGGUCCCGCCGCCUGACCCAGUCCCUGCCCUGUGGCUGCCCCCCAGGCCUCCUGACACUGUCCCCGCUCUGUGGCCGCCCCCCAGGCCUCCUGACCCAUUCCCGGCCCUGUGGCCACCCCCCAGGCCUCCUGACCCAGUCCCGGCCCUGUGGCCGCCCCCCAGGCCUCCUGACCCAGUCCCGGCCCUGUGACCGCCCCCCAGGCCUCCUGACCCAGUCCCAGCCCUGUGACCGCCCCCCGGGCCUCCUGACCCAGUCCCGGCUCUGUGACCACCCCCCGGGCCUCCUGACCCAGUCCCGGCCCUGUGACCGCCCUCCAGGCCUCCUGACCCAGUCUCUACCCUGAGGUGGCCCCCCCAGACCUCUGGACCCAGUCCUUACCCUGGGGUCUCCUCCCUGGCCACCUGGUCAUCUUCUGGGUCCCCUUCCUUACCUAUAUCUUUCUGUCCUCCUUAGCCAUCUUUAGGGCACCAGGAGUCACCCCUUAAAGGGGGAGUUAUGUCACAGACUGUCUCCUUCAUGUUUCCUAGGACUCUUAUUUUGAAGUGUUUCCCCCGGACUACGUUACCCAGUAUGCACUGCCCUCAUCACUGCCAUCUGUUCCUUAUUGUUCUCACCUGUUUUCCAUUCCCUCAUUAGCUUUUGUUUGUAUAAAUACCCUUUAGUUUUUGCAUUCCUUGGUCAGUUCUUGUCGGUUGUUGCUUUGAGUUCCCGUUUGUUGUUUAACUGUCAACAUUUUUAUUAAAGCCUGCAAAUAGA
RNA transcript from Myxocyprinus asiaticus (Chinese sucker), 2932 nucleotides. RefSeq lists it as uncharacterized. Lineage: Eukaryota; Metazoa; Chordata; Actinopteri; Cypriniformes; Catostomidae. The transcript has 2 exons. The record is from RefSeq and is a predicted model, not a curated record.